This 236-nucleotide long non-coding RNA is filed under the name Gallus gallus (chicken). The record is from RNAcentral. Lineage: Eukaryota; Metazoa; Chordata; Aves; Galliformes; Phasianidae.
AAAGUUUCUGUUGUGAAAGCCUGGACAUCAUCCAGCCAAACAGAGCGGUUGCUGGUAAGAUUUGAUGUUUUAUCAUCUAGAUUUGCUGCAGCUUUGUCCUUGAUGCACUUUGUGUCCAGGUCUGAUUCGCUGCUACUGGAGUCCCCCUUGGCUUUCUUUUUUGUCUUAUAGUGGUGAUGCUUUUUCUUUUUCUUUUUCCUUUUCUUACUUGACUUUUUCAGACUCUCAUCUGUAUC